AGUAAAGUGGCGUACGGGUGAGUAACACGUGGAUCAUCUACCUUUUAGUGGGGAAUACCGUUGGGAAACCGACGACAAUACCGCAUAAGCCCGAGAGGGGAAAGCAGCAAUGCGCUGAAAGAGGAGUCCGCGGCUGAUUAGCUAGUUGGUAGGGUAAUGGCCUACCAAGGCAUCGAUCAGUAGCCGGCCUGAGAGGGCGCACGGCCACACUGGAACUGAAACACGGUCCAG
RNAcentral lists this ribosomal RNA (231 nucleotides) under uncultured bacterium. Its description in RNAcentral is "partial 16S ribosomal RNA". It matches the Rfam family "Bacterial small subunit ribosomal RNA", at positions 89 to 334 of the family's 1533-position model. The record is from RNAcentral.